GACGAACGCUGGCGGCGUGCUUAACACAUGCGAGUCGAGCGGUAAGGCCCUUUCGGGGGUACACGAGCGGCGAACGGGUGAGUAACACGUGGGUGACCUGCCCUUAGCUCUGGGAUAAGCCUGGGAAACUGGGUCUAAUACCGGAUAUGACCUCAUGACUCAUGUUGUGGGGUGGAAAGCCUUGUGCGGCUAGGGAUGGGCCCGCGGCCUAUCAGCUUGUUGGUGGGGUAAUUGCCUACCAAGGCGACGACGGGUAGCCGGCCUGAGAGGGCGACCGGCCACACUGGGACUGAGACACGGCCCAGACUCCUACGGGAGGCAGCAGUGGGGAAUCUUGCGCAAUGGGCGAAAGCCUGACGCAGCGACGCCGCGUGAGGGAUGACGGCCU
RNAcentral lists this ribosomal RNA (388 nucleotides) under uncultured bacterium. Its description in RNAcentral is "bacterial SSU rRNA". It matches the Rfam family "Bacterial small subunit ribosomal RNA", at positions 28 to 417 of the family's 1533-position model. The record is from RNAcentral.